CUGCUCACUUCAGUAGCACAUGUACUAAAACUGGAAUGACCCAGAGAGGAUUAGCAUGGCUCCUGAACAAAGAGAAAGCACAAAUUUGUGAAAGAUUCCAUAUGUUA
Small nuclear RNA from Sarcophilus harrisii (Tasmanian devil), 107 nucleotides. NCBI's taxonomy places the organism in Eukaryota, Metazoa, Chordata, Mammalia, Dasyuromorphia, Dasyuridae. The record is from Ensembl.